UGAAUGGUUCUUUGUACUUGUUGAUGG
This 27-nucleotide non-coding RNA is filed under the name Rattus norvegicus (Norway rat). The record is from RNAcentral. Lineage: Eukaryota; Metazoa; Chordata; Mammalia; Rodentia; Muridae.